UAUUUGCUCAGUAUGCUUAGAUUUAUGUGAUACUCCCAUAAUAACACGAUGUAACCAUAUAUGGUAAGCUGAGCAUAUAUAUAUUAUUACUAUUAAUAUCUGCUUUUUUUUUGUUUUUUUUACAUAAAAAAGUACUUGUAUUAAUUGGAGUUUUUUUUUUUUUUUUUUUGAUUUGUUUGACCUCAUUUAUAGCUGUUAUAAAUGUAUGUAUUAUUCUCUCCUUUAUCAAAGAAACUGUCCAAUGUGUAAACAAAUAAUUAAAAAUAACGACUUGAAAAGAUUAACAGGGGAACGUAAAGUGGAGUAUGAAAAUAUAAGAAUAAAAUGUCAUUUAUGUAAUGAACAAUUUUUAAUGAGGGAUUAUAAAAAACAUUUAAAAGAUUGUGAAUAUAAAAGAUGUAAAAAUUAUUAUUUAGGGUGUGAACAUUAUGAUAAAAAAAAAAGAAUAAAAUUACACGAGAAAUUAUGUGAACAUGUAUUAAUACCUUGUGAAAGUUGUUCAAAUUUAUUUUAUUUUAAAAAUAGGUUUUAUGUUUUACCUUUUAAAAAAAAUUACAAAGUGAACAUGUCAUGCGCACUUACGCAUUAUUCUUUUUAUUAUAAUUUAUUUUUUAAUAAUAAUUUUAAUUUUUUUAAUUAUAAUUCUUGUUUUAAUUAUGAUAUUAAUAGUCAUAAUUAUAUAUUUAAAAAAAUCAAUAUUUUAAGAAACAUGCAAAAUACGUUAAAUCAACUCCGAUAUACACUUAUUUUAGGCAAUAACAAUACAACAACAUGUAAUCAAAUUACAACUAUACCUACUGUUACUAAUAGUAGUAACGGGUUAAGUAGUAACGGGUUAAAUAGUAACAGUUUAAGUAGUAACAGCUUAAGUAGUAACAGCUUAGGUAAUAACAGCUUAGGUAAUAACAGCAGCAGUACAAACAUCAAUAGUAGUAAUAGCAGCAGCACUAGCGGUAGCAGUAGCAGUAGUAACUCUCGCUUUGGAAAAAAUAGUAUCGAUCAGAAAUCUACGCAAGCGAAUAACACGAAUUGUAAAAAUAAAAUAUUGAUGAAAAAAAAAAAAAAUAUAAAGACAACUACAAAUACAGCGUAUAUUAACGAAAAUGACUUAACUAACACUAUCGCUACACAAAAUGUUUUUAAAAUAAGUAAUACGAUUUCUAAUUGUUUUAAUGAUUUAAGAUUUAAUAACAGCAUUAACGAUUCUAACAUUAAUAUUAGUAAUAGAUUUAUUAAUGAUAAUUUUGAUACAAAUAGGGAAUCAACUGAUAAUCAAGAAGAAGAAAAAAUAAACAGUGUGGGAACAGUUGAAGGAACAAAUAUUUGUAGUAUUAAAUCUGAACAUAAUUUGUGCGAAUACGAUCAAUAUAGUUUGCAUGAAACCGAUACGACUGAAGGUUUAUUUAAUAAUAAAUGUAAUAUUAGUACUAAUAGCACAUGUUAUAAUACAGAUAAAGAUGAUGAGUAUACAGAUAUAAUAGAUAUUUUACCACUAAGGACAAAUAUUAAUAUAAAAAAUCAAAGUAGCAAAGAUAUAAUAAUAAUAAUAAUAAAAGAGUUAUUUCAGUUUGAUAAUGUAGAUUUUAGUAAUCUUUAUAAAAAUAAUACAGAAUGUUACAUGUGUGAUAAAAACUGUUUUAGUAAUACAAUUAAAAGGCUUAGACAAGAUUUAGAAAGAUGUUUAGUUGUAUUAUAUUUUUGUUGUUGUAUUGGCUUUCCAACUAUGUUUUUAUUAGGUUAUACUAGUUUUAUUAUGACUAAAGGAGUUUUUAAAUUAUCUUUUUUCAUGGCAAGUGCAUUCCUUAAUUUAUCAAAAAACAUCUUUUUUAAAAUGUUUCAUAAUUAAACAUACAAAAAUAUAAAAAAAACAUAAAAAAAAAAAAAAAAAAAAAAUAAAUAAAUAAAUAACCUGUAUGUUAUGCGUAAA
Piliocolobus tephrosceles (Ugandan red Colobus) is the source of this 1927-nucleotide long non-coding RNA. Lineage: Eukaryota; Metazoa; Chordata; Mammalia; Primates; Cercopithecidae. The record is from Ensembl.